AGUGAACGCUGGCGGUAGGCCUAACACAUGCAAGUCGAACGGCAGCACAGUAAGAGCUUGCUCUUACGGGUGGCGAGUGGCGGACGGGUGAGGAAUACAUCGGAAUCUACUUUUUCGUGGGGGAUAACGUAGGGAAACUUACGCUAAUACCGCAUACGACCUACGGGUGAAAGCAGGGGAUCUUCGGACCUUGCGCGAUUGAAUGAGCCGAUGUCGGAUUAGCUAGUUGGCGGGGUAAAGGCCCACCAAGGCGACGAUCCGUAGCUGGUCUGAGAGGAUGGAUCGGCCAAACGGAAACUGGGAACGGGCCAGGACUCCAAGGGGGGGCGGCGGGGGGAAUAUUGGACCAUGGGCGGAAGGCUGAUCCAGCCAUACCGCGUGGGUGAAGAAGGCCUUCGGGUUGUAAAGCCCUUUUGUUGGGAAAGAAAAGCAGCAGGUUAAUACCCCGCUGUUCUGACGGUACCCAAAGAAUAAGCACCGGCUAACUUCGUG
RNAcentral lists this ribosomal RNA (492 nucleotides) under uncultured bacterium. RNAcentral describes it as "partial 16S ribosomal RNA". It matches the Rfam family "Bacterial small subunit ribosomal RNA", at positions 29 to 507 of the family's 1533-position model. The record is from RNAcentral.